This 64-nucleotide transfer RNA is filed under the name Eualetes tulipa. RNAcentral's name for it is "tRNA-Pro". Lineage: Eukaryota; Metazoa; Mollusca; Gastropoda; Littorinimorpha; Vermetidae. The record is from RNAcentral.
AAGACUAUAGUUUAUAAAAAUACUAACAUUGGAAGUUAGAGAUCUGUUGACAACAGUAGUCUUA